Molecule: long non-coding RNA, 210 nt
Organism: Mytilus californianus (California mussel)
Lineage: Eukaryota; Metazoa; Mollusca; Bivalvia; Mytilida; Mytilidae
Exons: 3
Source: RefSeq, a predicted model, not a curated record
UGACACACAAGGAAGAAAAAGCUAACAUCAUAUCAUCAGACAUCAUGACUAUUUGUAGCUGUAUUUUGAAGCUGUUAGUGAUAUUAGAAAUAUGUUCCUCAGGGCAUGGUUUAAAUAUUACAAAUGUUUAUGUUGGCAUGAAUGGAAACAUUGAACUUACAUGUGAUUGUUUUCAUCACAUUCAAUGUUCAUGGCAAACACCAGAUCGGG